UACGAAGGGGGCUAGCGUUGCUCGGAAUCACUGGGCGUAAAGGGUGCGUAGGCGGGUCUUUAAGUCAGGGGUGAAAUCCUGGAGCUCAACUCCAGAACUGCCUUUGAUACUGAAGAUCUUGAGUUCGGGAGAGGUGAGUGGAACUGCGAGUGUAGAGGUGAAAUUCGUAGAUAUUCGCAAGAACACCAGUGGCGAAGGCGGCUCACUGGACCAUUACUGACGCUGAGGCACGAAAGCUAGGGGAGCAAACAGG
Molecule: ribosomal RNA, 253 nt
Filed under: uncultured bacterium
Lineage: Bacteria
Description: partial 16S ribosomal RNA
Rfam family: Bacterial small subunit ribosomal RNA
Source: RNAcentral